CAGUAGCCGCGGGAAUACGUAGGGUGCAAGCGUUAAUCGGAAUUACUGGGCGUAAAGCGUGCGCAGGCGGUUAUAUAAGACAGAUGUGAAAUCCCCGGGCUCAACCUGGGAACUGCAUUUGUGACUGUAUAGCUAGAGUACGGCAGAGGGGGAUGGAAUUCCGCGUGUAGCAGUGAAAUGCGUAGAUAUGCGGAGGAACACCGAUGGCGAAGGCAAUCCCCUGGGCCUGUACUGACGCUUAUGCACGAAAGCGUGGGGAGCAAACAGGAUUAGAUACCCCCGUAGUCCCUGUCUCUUAUAC
Molecule: ribosomal RNA, 301 nt
Filed under: uncultured bacterium
Lineage: Bacteria
Description: partial 16S ribosomal RNA
Rfam family: Bacterial small subunit ribosomal RNA
Source: RNAcentral